RNAcentral lists this small RNA (28 nucleotides) under Bombyx mori (domestic silkworm). RNAcentral describes it as "ovarian small RNA-29844". The record is from RNAcentral. Lineage: Eukaryota; Metazoa; Arthropoda; Insecta; Lepidoptera; Bombycidae.
UCUCUGCCGUGAAGCAGUAAUGCGUUUC